Molecule: long non-coding RNA, 2112 nt
Filed under: Malus domestica (apple)
Lineage: Eukaryota; Viridiplantae; Streptophyta; Magnoliopsida; Rosales; Rosaceae
Description: long non-coding RNA (MDOM_LNC008523)
Source: RNAcentral
UACAUGAACAAGGAACUUGAGAAGAAAGCACAAAGGCAUGGACACUUAAUGUGCCAUGAUUCUUCACUUACAAAUUGUUGUAUGAAGAAAUGAGAGUUGCCAUGAACAACUCUUGAAAGUUUGUAAUUAUGUUUAGAACAUAAUGGUUGGUUGACAAAAAUAGUCCAUCAACAUGGACUUAUGAUGAUUUUGAAUCAUUGAGUGUUGAAGUGAUAAACCACUUAACGAGACAGAAACUAGGCAAGGACUUCACCUUUAUGUCCCUAUCCUAAUGGUUCACUAAGUUUAUUGUAAACUAUGUAGUGAACAAUAAACACAUGCUCUCCAAAAUGUUUGAUGUGUAUAACACAAUUGAAAUAAGUUUCAAGAGAGAUAGUGGGAGUUUAGGGACCAUGACUAUUGUAGUCAAAGGUGAAAGUCAAAUGAAGAAGAUAAAAUUAACUCCAAGGGAACAAACUUUCUUUAUGAAAUGAUGGACAUUGGAAGGGGUAUUUGCAAGAAAUGUCUUGCAAGUGUCAAGAACACACCUUUCGAAGGUGUGUAAAUUGUUCUUGAAUAGUUCAAAACAGUUGGUUCUUCUACUUGAAUGCUUGAUUCCGUAUUAGUAACUAUGUUUUACAAUCAUUGUAAAAGUGUGACUAAUAAGAAGUAGAAGAUAUAUGAGAGAAGAAAAAGGUGCUUCACAUUCGGAACGUGAAUAAAAUAUAGAUCUCUGCGAAAGCAGAUAGUACUUACUUCCUCAUAUGAACUACCAAAGAAAUUGGAAAAACCAAAGAUUGUCUUUACAUUCCAAUUUGAAGGAACUUAAUUCCAUCACUAUAGUAGAGAUGGAUGAAUGUUUUGUUUGACAAAACAUUGUUCUUUAUUAAUCAAUGAUUGGAUUAUAGUAAUCUAAUUGAUUGUCUCUACAGUAGAGAUGAUAUGGUAGUGUUAACUGUUUAGAAUAUAAUGAUGCUUAAAACCCAAAAGGUUGCAAGGUAGUGACUAAUCCCAACUGAGUUGUGAUACCUCUAAAACAUAAGUUAUGAGUUGGUGAAAAAUGGAUGCUUUGGAUUGUUAGAUCCGGAUCCAAUACCUUCUCAUUAAAAUUGUAUAGAGGCGAAAUGUUCGAAUCUUUAUUCUUUUGGAAAGAAGAAAGAAUCACAAAGUUGUUGAGGUUAAUUCACUUAGAUGUUGGUGGCACUUGACCACAACAUAAUACUACUCAUGUUGUAUGACAUUCACCGAAGAUCGCUCUCGGUUGGACUAUAGUUUAUUUUGAAUAAACACAAGUCCGAAUACUUUGCAAAAGGUUUCAAAGAAUUCAAGAAAUGUAAGUUGAUGAGUAAGACAUCUAAAGUAUUUACCUCCUUAGAUUUGAUCCAAGGAAAAGUAACACUUUAGAUGAGUUUCCUUGAAAGAUAUCAAGGAAAGAAGCAUCAUAAGAUAAUAAAAUUCUCCAUUAAGGAGAAGAACGAACUCGAAUAAGAUUUAGUUCGUUAGAUGUUAUCUAUUACCCAUAUAUAGGAUAUAUACUUCUAAAAACAAUAUGAUUGUCAAUUAGAAGAUCUUCCAAAUUUUUCAUGACUCCAUAAGAUGUAGUUGGAAAUAAAGACAAAUCUUAAGCAUGUUAAGAUUUGGGGUUGUGUGCUAAUAAGCAAUAUUUGUUUUGAUAACAAUCUUGUGGGAUAUCCUUAAAUUAACUUUUGGAUAUCGCUUCUAUAAACCAACUAACAAAUGUUGUUUUGUUGGGUAGUUCAUUGUAAUCCUACAAUGUGAUUUGCCUAAGAGCUAAUGAACGAGAGAUAGAACUCAAAGGAUGGGUUCUUUGAGAGACAAGAAAGUAAUCAACAAAUAUACAACCUAGUUCCUAUACCAAAGGCUCCAAGGUAGUCGAGAAAGAUUUAUAAACCGUCUCAGUUGAAUGGUUUGAACUUUAUGACUAUGUCAUAGAGUUACACCUCUUAAUUCGAAAGAAAUAAGAAUGAAAAUCUUUAUGACUACAUUGAGUGUAUAUAUGAUAUAUACUCAAGGAAAUGGUAAAGUACCAUCUGACCCGUAAUAAUGAAACCUUCAUAAGCUAAUUGGUAGCUUAAGGUGACUACAAUCAAAGAGAAUGGUUGACUUUGAAGA